CGGGCCUCUGCCACAUGUUCCAGCCCCGGCUCCGAGGCAUUGACGUCUGAGGGGGGAAGGCCCUGGCUCCUGGGCAAAGGACCAGAGGGUAUGGGACGCCCCCGGCCUGCGCAUUGUGACCAGUGGCCUGCCCGUGCUGCCUGUGUUCUGCUGCUCCUUUGAUGAGGUCACAAACAAAUGAUCUCCCACCUGGGGGGAGGAGGGCCAGUCUGCAGGGCUGUUUCCAGGGCUGGCCAAGUGGGGCAGCUGCACUCUGGUGUGCAUGUCUGUAGGGGGCUCCCCGUGCCCCCCAGGGAGGAAGCGAGCUGCCUGCCACACUAGACACGAGCCUCAGGGAAGGAGGCAAGAAGCACUAGACAGGAUCCUCCCAGCCCAGGGAGAUGAAAGUCAAGCAAACAUCCCACUCGGUGGGUGCCAAAACCACCGUGCCCAGAUGAGCUACAGAUGAGAGCAGACCUUUCCACAGAAAUUUUAAAUAAGUGGGACCAAGAUCCUGAGGCAAUUCUUCUGAGUGCUGUCACAAGAGAUGGAACCUGGCUGUCACAGAGCCACCUUGAAGACAAAGCACAAAGCCACAAAGUGACGGCGACCCAGGGGCAGCCACAGUGCAGCUGGAGAAGCAGACCGGUGGAAGCGGAGGUCCCGUCAUUUGGGGAUGCCCAAGCGUUCUGCUUGUUGACUUUCUGGGGUGCUGGAGCGCAUGCCAUCGGCUGGCUGGGAGAGGACUGAGAAAGUCAGACACGUGAGCAGGAGUGCUUGGGAAAGCCUCAGGGGCCUCCCCACUCCGCUCAUCAAACAAGAUGAUUUUGCAAGAGUUCCGAUGGCCAAUCACCAGGCGUCCCUCCCCCACAGACCUGAAGUGCUCCUUCUGACUUUUUGUGUCCUAACCUUUAAAAACAUCCUUAAACGGCACCUGUUUCUUUUCAGUUGACAAUGUAACAAAGACUGCACUGAUGUGGUCAAAUUCCCAGGACCUUCCAUUCUUUUGGGAUUGGACCACAUGGCUGGUGUCAUCCCAUACCAUAGUGUCUGGAUACCAUGCUGAAGAAUAAAGUUUACAUUUUUAUUUUUAUCUUUA
Non-coding RNA from Microcebus murinus (gray mouse lemur), 1078 nucleotides. The record is from RefSeq and is a predicted model, not a curated record. Lineage: Eukaryota; Metazoa; Chordata; Mammalia; Primates; Cheirogaleidae.